CAGGAUGACUUAAAAAGCCUGAUUAUACCAAAUGUUGGUAAGGAUGUGGCACAACUAGAAGCUGGAGACACAGGCACUCGCCGCACACACGUGCCCCCGCCCAACCUCAGGCGCGGCAGAGGGAUACAGGCGCCCUCCCAACAGCGGCUGCAGCACACACAAGCAUCAGGCUUACGCCAUGGCCCGCUCGCAGUCCCGAGGCUCCCACCCGGGCGCCCUGCCCAGGAUGCGGGAAGCCCCCGCUUUUAGCGUCCUCUGGGUGCAGUCAGGAGCGACUCACACUGCCCUGAGGAUCUGACGGGUUUGUGCCCCAGAAUCCUCAGCCCACAGAGGCUGAAUUUUCCCGCCAACCCCAAAGGAAGCGCCCAAACCGCGGGGAACUGCGGGUGCAGUGCCGGCCCAGUGACUCAGACACCGAGGCCGGUACCUACACGCCCGCCAGCACCAAGCCUACUCUCAGGAUGCGGCAACCAAGCGGGGCCGCACAGUCCCAGGUAGUUAUGGUGGAAACGCCUUUCCGGGCCGGCCCACUCCCCGGGGCGCCAAGCGUUGGCCUUCCUCUCACACCAAAAACACCGGGGAAACGUCGAGCAGAGCAGUAAAAGCAGCGAGAUGGACGGGAGCGGCGCUCGGCUCGUGCGGCAGCGACUCCUGGGAAGUGUCGCGCAGAGCCGUGAAAGCGGCUGGUGGACGAGGGGCGGGAGCGUUCGGCGCGUGCGGCAGGGACUCCUGGGAAGUGUCGCGCAGAGCCGUGAAAGCGGCUGGUGGACGAGGGGCGGGGGCGUUCGGCCCGUGCGGCAGGGACUCCUGGGAAAUGCCGCGCAGAGCCGUGAAAGCGGCUGGUGGACGAGAGAGAUUCUAGGCUCGUGAGGCAGAGGCCGGGAAAUGCGCGGUGUAAGAGCUGCUGGAUCCACAAGCUUCAUUCUGACGGCGCUUCUCCACGCUGGCAGGGGUGGUUCUUCCCGAGAGCGGCAGCCAAGCCCAGUCUGCGACUUCCCCAGCACGGGCAGAACCAGCUUUGAAGUGGCAGCUGCGGGGCUCCAAGUCCCACCCAGGACCUCACCGCACGCGCUCUGUUCAUGAACACUACGGGCCGUUUUACACAGAAAUGUCCACUGCAGGAACGACUGAGGAAAUCCACAGAAGCAGCACUCGAGCUCAAUUCCUGGCAAGGAUUAGGUCAUUCCGCAUUUUACUUGGCCUCGGUGGCCUUCACCAGAGGACAGCAUUCUGAUCGGAGUACUUGUGUAGGUAAAAGUGGACUCUGAACAAAAUUCAGACCCAGCUUUUGGGGAAGAUACUACAUCACUGAACUGAUCCUUCCUCGAUCCCGGGAAGCACUGAGCCUAGCACAUACCACAGAAACGCUGUGCGAACAAGAACAUUCUCCAAAUUCAAGUUCAGAUUUUGCUACCAUCAGACAUAAUGGUUAUAAAACUAGGCUUAUCACCAAAAUUACCUGCAGGGCAGCAUUGUCAGAACUCAGUUCCGGUUCCAACUCAGUCAGUUCCACGUGGAACAUGUAGAAUAUGAAGCCGUACAGUGCUGGGCCGAGGCCGUUACACAGCCCUCUUAUUCCAGUUAUGAUCCCCUGGGCAACUCCUGCAUCAGAACGAAGAGAAGGGAGCACGUCUUCUCAUAAAAGUAUCUCAAGAUUAGGGACUUCACCCAUCAUAGUGUCAUUUGGUGCACAAAUGUGUUACUGGUUUUACUAUGUCCUUUAAUGUCCUCUCUGUCCUAAGAUCUAUAUGGAGAUGAAAUGACCGUGAUGUUUAUGAAAUCUCUUUUGGGGCUGAAUUCUCCCUAUAACAGCUAGAUCCUUCCUAUAAAUGAGGAAUAAUAAAUAAAAACUUUAAUAUUCUUCAUUUAUAGGCAAUUUCCACUUUUGAGAUUGAGAUUUUUCCUCCUUUACUCAUCUGACAGUCCUUUUACGGCAAAAAUCUGCCCUUUGUCGCCUGGAGCCCUGUGUGUGAGUCCACGGCAGUCCUCAAGUUGUGUACUCCCGGCACGUGCACACAGACUCUGCUGCUCAUGGUGACCUGCGCUGAAAAAUCCCAGAAGUGCCAACUUCUAGAUAUCUCUGGUUUCUAAUGUAGCAGAUAUGAUAUUAGCUUGAUUCAUGAAAAUGGAUGUUUCUGUAAGUCAAACUGUUGAAAUAGGAUUCAACUUAAUAUGUUCUAGUAAUGUUGUACACUGACAUUUAGGAACAUCUGCAUUAAAACUGAACUGAACAGAAGCAUAGUAACAGCCAAAGAGAAUUCAUGUCAUGAAAGACCAGAUGGUGCCGUCACACAUGGCGGCAGUGCCCCCCAUCCCCAGCAGGCUGGCUUCUUCUGACGUAACACGCCCCAAGGGCACAGCCAAGGGAGUUCGCAAAGAGUGUCACACAGAUUCUAUAGUCUUCAAGUGACACUUUAAACAUGGGUACGAGUAAGAUGACUAAUUUUUGAUGUGGAAAAGUAGUUCAAUGAAUUAUUCUUUCCAUCUAGUUCUUUAUUAAAACUUUUUAAAGAACUCUAAUACAUUUAAAAGGUUU
Long non-coding RNA from Mustela erminea (ermine), 2536 nucleotides. RefSeq lists it as uncharacterized. The record is from RefSeq and is a predicted model, not a curated record. The transcript is spliced from 3 exons. Lineage: Eukaryota; Metazoa; Chordata; Mammalia; Carnivora; Mustelidae.